Molecule: ribosomal RNA, 655 nt
Filed under: uncultured bacterium
Lineage: Bacteria
Description: bacterial SSU rRNA
Rfam family: Bacterial small subunit ribosomal RNA
Source: RNAcentral
UUGCAGUCGAGCGAGAAGUUCCUUCGGGAAUGAUUAAAGCGGCGGACGGGGGCGUACAACAUGGAUAACCUACCUUAAGGUCCGGGAUAACCUCGGGAAACCGAAGCUAAUACCGGAUAAGACCACAUUAUCUGCGGAUAAAGGGGUAAAAGUUUUUCGCCUUUUGAUGGGUCCAUGCUCCAUCAGGUUUUUGGGGAGGUAAAAGCUCACCAAGCCGAAGACGGAUAGCCGGCCUUAGCGGGGGAUCGGCCACACGGGGACUGAGACACGGCCCCGACUCCUACGGGAGGCAGCAGUGGGGAAUAUUGGGCAAUGGGCGAAAGCCUGACCCAGCCAUGCCGCGUGAAGGAUGAAGGCCUUUGGGUCGUAAACUUUUUUCAGGAGGGACGAGGGGACUUCGGUCUUGACGGUACCUCCAGAGGAAGCCCCGGCUAACUCCGUGCCAGCAGCCGCGGUAAUACGGAGGGGGCAAGCGUUGCUCGGAUUUACUGGGCGUAAAGGGUCCGCAGGCGGUUGAGUAAGUUAGAUGUGAAAGCUCAAGGCUUAACCUUGAAAAUGCAUCUAAAACUGCUCGACUAGAGUCCAAGAGGGGUCGGCGGAAUUCCCGGGGUAGCGGGGAAAUGCGUAGAUAUCGGGAGGAACACCAGUGGCGAAG